UUACGGGAGGCAGCAGUAGGGAAUAUUGCGCAAUGGGGGAAACCCUGACGCAGCAACGCCGCGUGAGUGAGGAAGGUCUUCGGAUUGUAAAACUCUUUUAUCAGGGAAAAAUGUCUUAGUGGUUAAUACCCAUUAGGAGUGAUGGUACCUGAGGAAUAAGCACCGGCUAACUUCGUGCCAGCAGCCGCGGUAAUACGAAGGGUGCAAGCGUUAUUCGGAAUCAUUGGGCGUAAAGCGCGCGCAGGCGGAUUGAUAAGUCAGGUGUGAAAUCUCGAAGCUCAACUUCGAAACUGCGCCUGAAACUAUUAGUCUAGAAUGUCGGAGGGGGCAGGGGAAUUUCACGUGUAGGGGUAAAAUCCGUAGAGAUGUGAAGGAACACCGGGGGCGAAGGCGCCUGCCUGGACGACUAUUGACGCUGAGGCGCGAAAGCGUGGGGAGCAAACAGGAUUAGAUACCCUUGUAGUCU
This 466-nucleotide ribosomal RNA is filed under the name uncultured bacterium. RNAcentral's name for it is "bacterial SSU rRNA". It matches the Rfam family "Bacterial small subunit ribosomal RNA", at positions 339 to 796 of the family's 1533-position model. The record is from RNAcentral.